RNAcentral lists this ribosomal RNA (279 nucleotides) under uncultured bacterium. Its description in RNAcentral is "partial 16S ribosomal RNA". It matches the Rfam family "Bacterial small subunit ribosomal RNA", at positions 506 to 784 of the family's 1533-position model. The record is from RNAcentral.
UGCCAGCCGCCGCGGUAAUACGGAGGGUGCAAGCGUUAAUCGGAAUUAUUGGGUUUAAAGGGUCCGCAGGCUGUUUGUUAAGUCAGGGGUGAAAUCCUACCGCUCAACGGUAGAACUGCCUUUGAUACUGGCAAACUUGAGUUAUUGUGAAGUAGCUAGAAUGUGUAGUGUAGCGGUGAAAUGCAUAGAUAUUACACAGAAUACCGAUUGCGAAGGCAGAUUACUAACAAUAUACUGACGCUGAGGGACGAAAGCGUGGGUAGCGAACAGGAUUAGAUA